UAUGUUGCAAGCUUGUGAGAUGAGGCACUGUCUACCUGUGGAUGGGAUUACUUAUUGCUUGCAAUAAAAUGGUGGUUUCCUGAAGUCUCCUCGACAAUGCUGAGGCAUGAAUGCAGCUGCUAGAAAAAGAGCCAAAGACCUGGAGAAUAGGGCAGGAUUCAUUUCCUGUUAACCCAGAGGAAAGCCGCCUUCAUUUCCUCCUAACUUCCGGCAGAGACAGCUUCAGGGCCAUGGGAGAGGGUUGGGGCUUUGGACUGGAAAGAGAGAGGUGUUUUUGGACUAUCCCUUUCUUUGUAUCUGGUGGUAAUAGAUUUAGAAGGACCCUAUUUGGAUUCCGUGAAGCAAA
Molecule: long non-coding RNA, 346 nt
Organism: Mesocricetus auratus (golden hamster)
Lineage: Eukaryota; Metazoa; Chordata; Mammalia; Rodentia; Cricetidae
Exons: 2
Source: RefSeq, a predicted model, not a curated record